Molecule: ribosomal RNA, 253 nt
Filed under: uncultured bacterium
Lineage: Bacteria
Description: partial 16S ribosomal RNA
Rfam family: Bacterial small subunit ribosomal RNA
Source: RNAcentral
UACGUAGGUGGCAAGCGUUGUCCGGAUUUACUGGGCGUAAAGAGCGCGCAGGCGGUCGUUCAAGUCGCGUGUGAAAGCCCCCGGCUCAACUGGGGAGGGUCACGCGAUACUGAUCGACUGGAAGGCAGGAGAGGGUAGUGGAAUUCCCGGUGUAGUGGUGAAAUGCGUAGAUAUCGGGAGGAACACCAGUGGCGAAGGCGGGUUGCUGGGCCGACACUGACGCUGAGGCGCGAAAGCUAGGGGAGCGAACGGG